Chrysemys picta bellii (western painted turtle) is the source of this 9130-nucleotide non-coding RNA. The record is from RefSeq and is a predicted model, not a curated record. NCBI's taxonomy places the organism in Eukaryota, Metazoa, Chordata, Testudines, Emydidae.
AGAGAGAUCAGAUGGAAUUACACAACAGCCAUGCCACCUGGGUUGAAACUAGAGUGGUUUAUUCCUUUAAAAAAAAGUUUUCUGUUGUGGAGGAAUCUUUGAUAAUUUCCAGGAAGCUUGAGGUUCACUUCAAAGUCAUUAAGCUGCUGGGGAGGAAAGGCAAGGCAAACUGUCUGCACUAGGCAUGCUCCGCAGUGACUGCUUCAUGCAAGGCUGGGCUCUCUCACAAUACUCCCAAACGCAGAGAACAGAGGGAAGCAUGGGGGAGCCACCUGAGCCUGUGGACUUGAGGAAUGCUGGGGGAAGCUUACUCACUAGGUCCAGCUACAAAGGAAAGGUGAUGGAUUCUGCUGGAGAGAGCUUUCUCGUGGCACAGCAGUGAGUGAAACCAGCACAACAUGUUCAGUGUGGAGGACCUCCUGAUUUCUCAUGGAUACAAAUUGUCCAAAGAUCCCUCUGCUUCAUACGAGAACAGAAAUGAUGGAUACCAGCCUGAGAUUACAGAGAAUAGAACUAGUCGGGGAACGCUGAAUGGGUUUGAGACAGACUCUGGAGCCUACAUUUACAACAAGAAACCACUGGCAAAAGGCAACUUGAGCAGCAGUGAAGGCAGUCAUGGGAGCCAAGGGAGGCAUGCUGGUCCCGGUUACCACCCAGACCUCCGGGGUUUGUCCACAUUUCAUACUUCAGAAGGGGGGUUUUAUGACAGACAUCUGUUAGCAUGGUCUUCGGGGCCCAAGACUGAUAAAGAUCUGGCCUACUGGAGAAGAAGAGGACAAGACUUUAGCGUAUUACUGGGUUACACUGACAAAGGAGACUCUGAAAUGAGAGGAUUGGCACCACCCCAUGAGGUGUACAGACAUGCUAAAGAAAGUCAGCUGGAGGUAGGAGCAGGAACAGAGAGUGUGACAAGAAGUGGCUUGCAGGAGACCUGGAAAGUGCCUGGUGAUUACAAAUGGCAAAGUUUAAGAACAGAAAGCUGGAAACAACCUAAAAAAUUAGGAAGACAAAUGUCUGAUGGUGAUAGAGAGAAACUGCUUCAAGAUCUGUACUCAUUGAGCCUGGGAGACAGUGUACUUAGCUCCCAUAACAAAGGGAAAUCACAAUCAUUGCCAAGAGUUCUUUCACCAGAGACCCUGAAGUGUGUGGAAAUACCCUCCCUGGUGAAUAAUCAUCAUUUCCUAAGUGGAACUAAAGCAUCCUCUGGUCCCCAAAACAGACAGCCUUUAGAAUUCACAAAACCCAGGGAAACAGGAAGCCACCUUCUUCCUCUGGCCAAGCCCAAGUAUGGCAGACCCCUUAAACCUCCUUCCUAUGAACUGCACCGACAGAUGAGGGCACCUGUAGAAACCAGUGGCUUUCAGGACCACCAGCAAAUAGAUGAGCCCGUUUCAUAUUUAGCCAAAGGUAAUGAGCCGAAGCAAGACGCUUACAUUCCAGACUCUGGUUUAGAGCCCCCUGUCUAUAUACCACCUCCAUCUUACAAGUCCCCACCUCAGCCAAGUGUGAAUCAGCAUUCCCUCAAUGAAGUGCCUAACUAUGACUUGUGCUUUGACAAUGGUCAGCGGCAUUCAGUAGAGAGGACCCUCAGCAGCCAUCGACCCUCCACUAGCACAUUGGAAACUGGGGGUGAACACUGCAAAGAUGACCACCUUCCUCAUGAAAAACAAAGCCAUUCCAGGCACACUGAUGACUACCUGAAUUCCAUUCAGUAUAUUCCUUUUGAUGAUCCUCGAAUACGGCAUAUUAAAAUAGCACAUCCCGAGAGCCUCCAGAACAACACUAAACACACUGAAAAUACAUGUAGGACCAAUCCUACUGCUUUGCAGGAGAGAACUAUCGAACUACAAUACAAUAGUGCCUUUUUGGAUCCAUCAAACUUACUAAAUACUGUAAAGGGUGAGAGAACUCCUGACAGCACCACGCAUUGCAACAGGUGGUUGGCAGCAUCCAACGGACAUCAGGAAAACUGGGCCCUGCCUGACCAAAGAGACAGUGGUGACACAGAUAAUCACCCCCCUGAAAAUGAAACUAAUCAGGAGUACACAAAGGGCAACCUUUCUGUAAGAAACCCACAUAUGGAUAGCACCUGUGAGACUGUUACUAGAGUAAAAAAGUUUGAACCUGGAACUGGGAUGCAGAGCAAAAAGAGUUCAAAGAAAAAAAUGAAUGAAACUAUAUUUUGUUUGGUGUCCAUCCCAGUUAAAUCUGAAUCAGGUCUGCCAGAUACUGAUAGGAACAAUAACUUAACACAGAGCCCUGAUAAGAAGAAUGAAUUUGAUAACAGUGGAGCUUUGCAAGAACAAAGUCUUUUAAGUAUGUCUUCCACCGACUUGGAGUUACAAGCUCUCACAGGAAGCAUGACCAAUAAAACUGAGUUACAAAAACAAGAGCUAUGGAAACCAGAGGAGUUCAAACAAAUGAAUGACCUCAGAUUUACUCAGCCUACAAAACACAGGGAACUCAAAUACUCUGGCUCUUGGCCAGGUGAUCAGUACAAAGACCAGCAAACACAGACCUGUUUCACUGAAGACCCUAAAAGCUCACAAUUUUUCCAUGGUAUAAAACCUGGUGAACCAAAUAAUAAACUGAUGGCUCCAAAAUUCUUAGCCUGUACAGCAUCUUUGGUUGGGUCAGAAGAGGCAGGUUUAUCCCCCGAUGACAGAAAAUGUAGGCAGAAUACAUACAAUAUGAAAGGUCAGAUGAACCUCAAUCCAUCCAGCAAUAGUGCAUUUUCAAGGACUGCCACCUCCGUAAUUCAGGUACAUUCACCAAAGGCAUACCAGAGCCAGCCUUAUGGGUCCUGCACAGCCAUGCCCACCCAGGAAAGGGAAACUGGCACAAUUCCCAGGGGUGAUGUGGUCAAGGGUGAAGCAAGUGCUCCCUGCAAGAGUAAAGAACUAUUUGGUCAGUUUCUUUUGAAACCUGUUGGUCGCCGUCCCUGGGAUGCAAUAAGUGAGUUAGAAAGUUUUAACAAAGAGCUCCAAGAACAGGAAGAAAGCACUAGUAGUGAAGAUGGCAUGGAGAGUGUGGGAGCAAAGCAGGGCUGUGUUCCUACAAAGAUAGGGACCUCCAGAACUGAUGAAUCAACCCAGGAACUCAGGCCUUGUAAGCAGCUAAAAACUGUGGUACCAGAAGUUCCUAUAUUUAAACAAGGAAGAGUUAAAAGUAAGUCUGAAAGUUGGAGUACAGAGCUUAAGUCUGAUGAUCCACAUAUCUGUGUUGGAUCACAAAGCUCCUUGAAUGCAAAAGAGCGCGGUAGUUUAAUCAAGCCAGCAGAUGGAAGUGUGAUAACAGAAACAAGAAACCAGGAAGCCAAGAACAGAACAAACAAACAGCGAGCAAGUUCAGGCCCAGUCAAUAGAGUUUUGUCCAGUAGUCCAAGUAAUGCAAAUCAGAGUAAUCCAUUCAGUCAUGCAGACUUAAAGGAGACAAAAGAAGAUAGAAAUUACAUAGCUAAUAUGUUAGAUUUUGUAAAACAGAACAAAAGCGCAACUCCCAGGAGUGAUACACUUUUAGAGAGAGGAUCUAUAGUAAGAUUGUCUUUAACUAAUAGAAAUCAAGGUCAUUCUGAGCCAGAUUUGAGGUCUGUGGGACUGGAUAUUGACCCUGAACCAGGUGCUAACAACUCUGAUUUUUCUUCUAAUGCAAAUGCAAUGGGGAUCCCCCAAAAUGAGUCCCUGCAGGCAAGAGCUGCAAGGAUUCUGGGUAUAGAGGUAGCAGUGGAGUCUCUAAUUCCUGGGGACAGAACUGGCCUCCACCAAUACACCAGCCCUGCAAAUAGUGUCCAGGAUCCUGAAUUACCAGUAGGGGGAACAGUACGUGACAAAGUAGAAACAAAAGACAGCUCUUAUGAGGGCAGACGAAAGUGUGGCUGGACAGAAAGUUCUCUCUUUGUGGGCGAGAGAGACUUCCCAUUUUGGGCUGGUGAAUACCAGAGCACUGACCUAGAAGCCAGCUCUAAAACUCUGGUAACUGAGCGAGGUUUUGAACAGCAUGCGGGUCUCAACAGGCAAGAUGAGGAUCCAGACCUGCCUUGCAAGUCUGUUACGCAUCAAAUUGCUGAAAGAAACGUGAUCAUUCCAAGCUCGGAAAAGAGAGUUAGAAGCACCUCAAAGGUGAUUGAGACCUUACAAGGCAAACUUGCCUCUCCCCCUAGCCGAACAGUCAUGGAUCGUUUGGUGAGAAUGAAAGAGGUUGACUCAGUUUCCCGUAUGCGACGUCUGAGUAUCAAGAGUGCAGAUUCAGGGGAGGAAGUAGAUGAGGAGAAACCACCAAGGGUACAAGAGGAGAGAGGAAGCUAUGCGCCACUCAGCGGUAAUGAACUCUCUCGCAAAAUGGUGCACACAGGUGCUGUUUCCAAGCGCAUUAUCUCUCUCGAUGAAAAUGGACAUAUAACUACAAUAGGCAAGAAGAAGGCUGACCGAGAUUUUUGUUUAGCCUCUGUCCGCACAAAAUAACUCUGAAAACCAUGGCCUGGAGUUUUGCACGCUGGCGGAAGUCAGCCGGGCCACAGUGAUGUAACACAGCCUCUCUUUGCAGUACCAGCGUUUAAAGCAAAUAAAUUAUUCUGCCGAGUACAGGAGACAUUGAGUGCUUAAAAAUGAAGACCGAACUGUAUCCCCACCUUGUAAAAUGGUCAUCUGGGUGUGGGUGGAGACACGUUGCCGGGAGGUGUACACUGCCCCUACUUUGCUCUGCAGUAUUAAGAUAUGUACGAUCCCUCCAGGGUUGAAAGGGUGUGAGCUGAACACAGAUGAGAAUCUAGAGAUGUCUGCUCUCCUAAGAAUGUUUUGCUGAUUUUGCUCUGUGUUUUAACACUUGGAAAUUGCCUCCAUUUGUGGUGUUUUAUGAUAUUCUGAUAAAGCCUUUACCACUGCCAGUAGGAAAUUAGUUAUUCACACAUAUCUGCUUUGCGGAGAUCACAGAAAACUCUGACUCUUACUUGGAUACCAUCUGUUUUUUGUAGCAUUAAGACUUAAUGCCUAUACUUGGCAAAGAGGUUUUAUCUAAACGAUGUUUAACAGUCUUCAGCUGGGAUGGUAAAUUCAAUGAGACUAGGCUUUGGAGCUUAUUCUUCUGUGUACAUUUAAACACAGGAGAUUAGUCAAAUGAUUUUAAAGGAAUGUGAAUUUAUAAGCUAAACUUCUGAAUCUCUAAAGCCCAAACUCUGCAUAAGUUGAGGAAUCUUUGGCCAUAAGACAUGAGUCAUGAGUGCUGCCUGUGUGUGUGUGUGUGUGUGUGUGUGUGUGUGUGUGUGUGUGUGUGGAGGGGGGUGGAGGGAUGCUUUGGAAUGAAUGCAAGACAAGGCGAAUGAAUAUUGAUUUAUUGUGAAAUCAGUUUGGACUUCCACAGUUUGAAUUCAUUUUGAUUAAAUACUUAUUUGCCACAUGUAGAGAAAAUAAAAGCAAACUCCCCAAAGCUCCUAAAAGAUCAAGACUUUUGUAAUAGAGUGUACAGAACAUGUAAUUACAGUAGCUGGCAACUAAAUGUUUUGAACCAAUGCAAACAAUACCACUGGCUGUUUUGCACUCAGUAUUAUCUAUUUGUGUUUUGCUGUUUAGAAAUUCUUUAUAUGACACAAUAAUUGCUGGUUUAAAAUAGCCCAUUUUAACAAAGUUAACUAUAUUUCUUGUUACAGAAUACUGUCUAUUUUUCUACGAUGUAAACAAUUGUUAAGUGGCCAGUAUAAAGAAGUAUUAUUAUUAUUAUUAUUAUUAUAUUUUAAGAAGAAUAAUUCUUUUGACUGAAGACAGACCAAGGAGGAGUCACUUAUGUAUCUUAAUGCACGUUCCAUAUGGCCUCAUAUCCAGUACUGCCACUUUCUUUUGUUGUGAAAAGAACAAUCAGUGUAUAUGUAUGUGUGUGGAGUACAGGGUUAAUUUCUACAAUUUUCCACUCAACUGUUGGAUUGUUCUUUUUGGAGCAACUCUUUAGAGAAAACAGCUGAGAACCAUCCGUGCUGGUAUUGCUGCCAUAACAUUCCACUGACUGUAAUUACCAAAAAGUGGGUUUGGAGCCCCGUCUCGGUGUCUGUGAGCAGCUCUGAUAAAGUACCUGGGUUUGUUUGUUAAACGUUUUUAUGCGGUUUGGUUUUGAAUUAGGCUAGUGUAUGAAAAUAAAUAAAUCUGGGUCAAAUUCAUCCUUGGAGCCAAUGGGCAUCACGAAGGGGGUGGAUAGAUUUGGACUGCUUCUUUGUGACAUUCAAAUAUAUGGCUUUUUAAACAAAAAUUAAAGAGUAUAUAAAAAGGCCUGUACAUUCUGCUGUAUUUAAUACUGAAUUAACCUGCACAAUGUUUAUGUGUUUUUAAAGCCUUUAUGUCCACUUCUGUGGUUUUUUUUAAAGUGUUGUUGUUUGCUGACAUUCUUUUGACAAUUUAUCCAUGAAUUUCAAGGGCUUCGUUACUAGCCAUUCUUGUUUUGUAGAACCACCUUAUCUUUUAAACAUUUCAAAUUCCUGAAACAUAAAUUUUUGGGUGGUCUGUGAGUUGGCAAAAACAGACCAAAGACACAUACUAGGCUUUGGCAGCAAGAAUUUCUUAUCUGUAACACAUGAUUCGGUUACACAGGAACUUCAUGGAAUUUUUAAAAGUUUGUUACAUAUUCAAAGAAAAUGUGAUUGUAUAAUUUAUUGAACUGAAUCUUGCAGACUUUCUCCAGCUCUGCGUGUGAACAAUCUGUAUCCAUAAGGCUUACCCAUCGCCAUGCUCCUUUCUAAAUCUGGUCAUGUUAUUGCCACUGCCAGUGCAAUGACUCCACCUUCAGGAAGGAGGUGAGAGCCCCAAGUCCCCAGACACUUUUCUUCUGUCAGGGGAAGAAGAGUAAGUAGUGAGCUCCCGCAGCUCCUUUCCAGGCUUCUCUGUAUUGUUCAGUCCCUUGCCAACCACAAACAAUGGGGAGUCACGCUGGUUCCUAGCCUAUGCAGUGGGCAGACCCUCUAUUUCCACAUGUUGUUCUGUGGAAGCCAAUGGGAUUGUCUGCAGGCCUAAGCACUCACUCGCACAGAUCCAUCCUUCUGCAGGACUGGGGUUAAUUUGUGGUUUACAUUUUCCUUUAAAGAAUCACUACUUUUCUAGCGCAGGUUCCAGACCUUGCCGCGGGGGAGGCGUUAGGGACAGGAGAGUGUGGCCUUGAUUUAGGAAAGUAUGUGCUUAGGUCCCCUUGAAGUAAUUGAAGUCUGUUAAUGGCCAAAGAAAUUUGGCAAUUGAAAUGCCUAGCCAUGUAUUGGCUCACCCAGCCAUUAAAUUAACUCGCAACAACCUUUCUAGGAGUAACAAAUACAUAAUUUAGCCUUCACAAGCUCAGGUCAUUCAAAGCAAAGAUCAAGGUAGAUUGUACCAGCGGGGUAGUCUGUGAGUCAGACACCCAUAUCCUAUACAGGGCCACCAAGCUCCCUCAAUUUAGAUCCAGUGGGGAGACUUCCAAGUAGUGCAGAGUCAUUAGAGGUAAGUACAGUGCUUCAUACAUUACAGCACCCAACCAACCUUGAAAAAAAAGUGAUUGUUUAAAAUUUACAAGUAAUACAAAUAAUGUGUCAAGUUUGUGCCUAUCUGAAAACCUCUAGUCCGGCAGGCUUGUUUAUAUAGAAAUAUCUGAAUUUAGUAAAAAGGCUUUUGCUUCUUCAAUGUGAUAAGUUGACGGUAAUAUAUAUGGUCAGUGUUCCGCUGCCUUGGAAGCACAUGCAACCUGCUGACUGAGGGGUUUCUAGUGCUGGCACUUAUGCUGGGAAUAGAAAUUUAACUUUUGCUACCCUUCGCUUUCAUUAGGAGUAGGACUGAACUCCUCCAUACCAGGUGUAGGGGGAGGGGAGAAAGAGAGUGAGUGUGGAGGGCAGGAAGAAGGUAAAGUUAUUUUGCAUUACUAAUUGUGAAUAGCAGAAGAUCCUUCAACUGUACGCUGGCGGCUGCAGCUCAGAUCUCCCAGGUUAAGCUGGUAUAACUGGAAACAGACUCUUUCCUUGAUGGGACCCAUUAGACCAAAGAGGCAAGUGGAGGCAUGAGCUAAACUGCAGCAUAAGCUGUGUUAAAUGGAAUGGAGAGAAUUGGUAAAUUGUCUGUGGAUCAUGGUCCAUAAACUGAUUGUUUCUGCAACAGUUGGUUUCUUCUAGGUUGGGCUCAACUGCUCUCCAUAAUUUGGUUAUAUAGACACCAGGGUCAUGAUAUAGCAGCCCUUAUUAAUUGGCAUACACUUUACUCACAUGAGGAGCCCCACUGAUUUAAUUGGGAUUACUCCAAAGGGUGCGAGUUUACAGGCUCAUGCCUGCAAACCCACAGACAAUGGCUACAUUGCUGAAGCCAUUAGAACACUGUUAGGGAGGUUGAAAUGCUAAACAUUAUUUGCAAUUUAAUUCUCUUAUUUCCAACUCACAUGAAAAUAUUCACCAGAAGCCUCAGUGUGGGAGUAAAUCAAAGCUGUUUAUCCUAAUCACUAUUUAAAAUAAAUUGUUUGAAACAUAGAAAAAGAUGAAUCCUGAUGUCCCUAUUAAAACCAAAAUCCACAAUGCUCACUACCACCCAUGCUGCCAACUGUUUGCACACGCCUCCCAGUGCUACAGUGCAGGGAGGGGGGGGAAAGAACACAAAGUCUGAAGUGACCAACACAGAGCAGAGAGAAGAAAUAAAAAAAUGAAAUUUCCCAUCCAGGGGAAACCACAGGAACAUAAAGAUUAUAUAAUAAAUGAGGAACAUUCCACCCUAGACAGUAGAAAGCCUAGCUGUCCAACUCUCGACUGGUUGAAAAAAUAACCAGAAACAUCCCACAAGUAAUUCCUAAACUGGGCAGAAAACAAGAAGAUGUAAAAUAUAGACAAUAUGCAUCAGUGUGCAUGUGUGGGUCUUUACGUAAAACGGGAAGUAUUUCUAGAGAGAGCUUCAACAUGUGGGUCAUCUCCGUUGCCAACAAUAAGUCAUUGCCAUUGCUCUAGAUAGGCCAAGAGGGGAUUCAGAAGGAUAAAGGGAGGAAACAGGGGUAAGCAACUACAAAAAUAUUUGUAUAAUAUCACAGGAUGAAUGUCUUUAAGGACUUCUUUGUAUUUUUCUGCACAAUGUAAACACUAUGUUUCCAUGCUACCAUGUAAGUCAGGUGGCGCUGUUGGUCAAUAGACAUUCUCUAAAUAAAGGUUUUGCAUGAA